UACGGAGGGCGCAACCGUAGCUCGGAAUCACUGGGCGUAAAGCGCGUGUAGGCGGCUUGGCACGUCGGGUGUGAAAUCCCGAGGCUCAACCUCGGAACUGCACUCGAAACUGCUUGGCUCGAGUCCCGGAGAGGGUGGCGGAAUUCCCGGUGUAGGGGUGAAAUCCGUAGAUAUCGGGAGGAACACCAGUGGCGAAGGCGGACACCUGGACGGUGACUGACGCUGAGACGCGAAAGCGUGGGGAGCAAACAGG
RNAcentral lists this ribosomal RNA (253 nucleotides) under uncultured bacterium. RNAcentral's name for it is "partial 16S ribosomal RNA". It matches the Rfam family "Bacterial small subunit ribosomal RNA", at positions 524 to 776 of the family's 1533-position model. The record is from RNAcentral.